Molecule: long non-coding RNA, 1512 nt
Organism: Oncorhynchus tshawytscha (Chinook salmon)
Lineage: Eukaryota; Metazoa; Chordata; Actinopteri; Salmoniformes; Salmonidae
Exons: 3
Source: RefSeq, a predicted model, not a curated record
UCGGUAUACAGACCAGUGUACUGAUGGUCGGGUUGAUAACACUUCCCUGUGGAUAUGUUGUAUCAGAUUACCUCCGACAUCGGGAGAAAACCGGCGGACAACAGGCAAAGUCCGUUACCCCUCCUGUGCCCUCCAACGGCUUCUCAUGCCAUCUGGUUCACAGUGGAGAUCAGGCAAAACAGAACACGUUCAUCCUUUGCAGUGAGAAGAGCGAUUCCAGCCCCUGUGUGUGUGUGUUAUUAAACACACAGAAACCACUACAAACGUCCUCUAGAUGUGUUUGGUUGGAUCAUAAUGGUAUCAUCAGAUACUAAUAAGAACUCCACAUACGCAGUGUCCUGACAAUGUUUCUCAAACACUUGGUCUGUAAUGCAAGCAUAUGACAUUAUGACAAUUUCUGGGCUACAGUACCAUUGUGCUCUCUCACUUGGGGAUGCUGGGAAAGCAAUGAAUAGACUACACUAAUUAAAUCCAUUUGUUUCUAUAAUUAUCUCUGGUCAUUUUCUAAACCUGGGAAGCUACCCAACUGAUAUUUUUCCCAUUAGCUUUGCGCAAGGUCCUGAAGAAGACAAUGUGUUUGAGGUAGCUAUGGAGGAAAGUCCAUAUGGACUCCAGACACAGACCAGGCUCAGUCCCAUUAUCAUUGUGCAAAAAGGAAAUGGAAAAAUACAAGUAUUUUGCAUGCUGACUCUUAUCCCCAAAGUAUUAUCUAAGCUUGGAGUUGGUUCUUUGAAGAGCACCAUUGGAGCAGGGCAUUCUCUCUGCCAAGAGCAGUCAAUGUCAAUUAUGAAAUAUGAUUUAUUAAUAAGCAACUCCAUCGGUUUUAUUAGAGAUAUGUACUGACCACAGCAGUGAACUGUUGAAACUCUGGCUUGAGGUCUGAUCCUUUGUUCCCCAUCUGAUCCCUGGAUCAAUUUAACCCUGAUUAAAUAACUCUCACCCGUAUCCAUGACAUUGGUUGCCACUGAUAUUGACCUUGUAGUGUAUAUUCUUGUGUGUAUUUAUUUUAUAUAACUUAAUAUCACUGCAUUGUUGAGAAGGAGCUUGCAAGCAGCAAGCAUUUCACUAUACUGUUUACACUGGCUGUAUCCUGUGCAUGUGACAAAUCAACUCGGAUUUGAUUUGGGAGAGAGAAAAAGAAGAGGAGCAGACAAGAAAGUUUAAAACAAUAGAUGUCACAUUUGAUGGGAUAUUCCCAGCGGUGGUAAAAGUACCCAAUCAUCAUACUUGAGUAAAAGUAAAGAUAAGUUAAUAGUGUCAUGACUGUCCUGAUCAGGUCAGGUUACAGGAGACCACAACCCUAUAGAUUAUCUCUCAAACCCAACAGAGGAGGAGAGAUCUUGGGGUCUGAAGAUGUUUUUUUUUAUGACCCCUCAUGCCCCUGUUAAAUCUUAGGCCACACAACCUUCCUCUGUCUCCUCAAUAUGGAGAACCAGCCUCAGAACAUUAAACAUGAAAUAAAGGGACUUUGGAACAAUGGUUUCCAUCAGCCACAAUGGUGGUCAUGACGAU